AUUGAACGCUGGCGGCAGGCCUAACACAUGCAAGUCGAGCGGUAGAGAGGUGCUUGCAUCUCUUGAGAGCGGCGGACGGGUGAGUAAUGCCUAGGAAUCUGCCUAGUGGUGGGGGAUAACGUUCGGAAACGGACGCUAAUACCGCAUACGUCCUACGGGAGAAAGCGGGGGAUCUUCGGACCUCGCGCCAUUAGAUGAGCCUAGGUCGGAUUAGCUAGUUGGUGAGGUAAUGGCUCACCAAGGCGACGAUCCGUAACUGGUCUGAGAGGAUGAUCAGUCACACUGGAACUGAGACACGGUCCAGACUCCUACGGGAGGCAGCAGUGGGGAAUAUUGGACAAUGGGCGAAAGCUGAUCAGCCAUGCGCGUGUGUGAAGAAGGUCUUCGGAUUGUAAAGCACUUUAAGUUAGGGUAGGAAGGGUAGGUAACCUAAUACGUUA
Molecule: ribosomal RNA, 440 nt
Filed under: uncultured bacterium
Lineage: Bacteria
Description: bacterial SSU rRNA
Rfam family: Bacterial small subunit ribosomal RNA
Source: RNAcentral